This 788-nucleotide ribosomal RNA is filed under the name uncultured bacterium. RNAcentral describes it as "bacterial SSU rRNA". It matches the Rfam family "Bacterial small subunit ribosomal RNA", at positions 559 to 1345 of the family's 1533-position model. The record is from RNAcentral.
CGUAAAGGGCUCGCAGGCGGCUUCUUAAGUCUGAUGUGAAAUCUUGCAGCUUAGCUGCAAGCGGUCAUUGGAAACUGGGGAGCUUGAGUACAGAAGAGGAGAGUGGAAUCCACGUGUGGCGGUGAAAUGCGUAGAGAUGUGGAGGAACACCAGUGGCGAAGGCGACUCUCUGGUCUGUAACUGACGCUGAGGAGCGAAAGCGUGGGUAGCGAACAGGAUUAGAUACCCUGGUAGUCCACGCCGUAAACGAUGAGUGCUAGGUGUUAAGGGGUUUCCGCCCCUUAGUGCUGCAGUUAACGCAUUAAGCACUCCGCCUGGGGAGUACGGCCGCAAGGCUGAAACUCAAAAGAAUUGACGGGGACCCGCACAAGCGGUGGAGCAUGUGGGUUUAAUUCGAAGCAACGCGAAGAACCUUACCAGGUCUUGACAUCCUUUCGACCUCCCUAGAGAUAGGGAUUUCCCUUCGGGGACGAAAGUGACAGGUGGUGCAUGGUUGUCGUCAGCUCGUGUCGUGAGAUGUUGGGUUAAGUCCCGCAACGAGCGCAACCCUUAAUCUUAGUUGCCAGCAUUUAGUUGGGCACUCUAAGGUGACUGCCGGUGACAAACCGGAGGAAGGUGGGGAUGACGUCAAAUCAUCAUGCCCCUUAUGACCUGGGCUACACACGUGCUACAAUGGAUGGAACAAAGGGAAGCGAAGCCGCGAGGUCCAGCAAAUCCCACAAAACCAUUCUCAGUUCGGAUUGCAGGCUGCAACUCGCCUGCAUGAAGCCGGAAUCGCUAGUAAUCGU